RNAcentral lists this ribosomal RNA (496 nucleotides) under uncultured bacterium. RNAcentral's name for it is "partial 16S ribosomal RNA". It matches the Rfam family "Bacterial small subunit ribosomal RNA", at positions 28 to 507 of the family's 1533-position model. The record is from RNAcentral.
GAUGAACGCUGGCGGCGUGCCUAAUACAUGCAAGUCGAGCGAACGGACGAGAAGCUUGCUUCUCUGAUGUUAGCGGCGGACGGGUGAGUAACACGUGGAUAACCUACCUAUAAGACUGGGAUAACUUCGGGAAACCGGAGCUAAUACCGGAUAUAUUUUGAACCGCAUGGUUCAAAAGUGAAAGACGGUCUUGCUGUCACUUAUAGAUGGAUCCGCGCUGGAUUAGCUAGUUGGUAAGGUAACGGCUUACCAAGGCAACGAUGCAUAGCCGACCUGAGAGGGUGAUCGGCCACACUGGAACUGAGACACGGUCCAGACUCCUACGGGAGGGAGCAGUAGGGAAUCUUCCGCAAUGGGCGAAAGCCUGACGGAGCAACGCCGCGUGAGUGAUGAAGGUCUUCGGAUCGUAAAACUCUGUUAUUAGGGAAGAACAUAUGUGUAAGUAACUGUGCACAUCUUGACGGUACCUAAUCAGAAAGCCACGGCUAACUACGUG